GCCAGUGUUGCUCGGUGGUUAGAGCACUGGCCUGCACACCAGAGGGUCACAGGUUCGAUUCCAGUCAAGGGCA
Myotis lucifugus (little brown bat) is the source of this 73-nucleotide non-coding RNA. Lineage: Eukaryota; Metazoa; Chordata; Mammalia; Chiroptera; Vespertilionidae. The record is from Rfam.